UACGUAGGUGGCAAGCGUUAUCCGGAAUUAUUGGGCGUAAAGCGCGCGUAGGCGGUUUUUUAAGUCUGAUGUGAAAGCCCACGGCUCAACCGUGGAGGGUCAUUGGAAACUGGAAAACUUGAGUGCAGAAGAGGAAAGUGGAAUUCCAUGUGUAGCGGUGAAAUGCGCAGAGAUAUGGAGGAACACCAGUGGCGAAGGCGACUUUCUGGUCUGUAACUGACGCUGAUGUGCGAAAGCGUGGGGAUCAAACAGGAUUAGAUACCCUGGUAGUCCACGCCGUAAACGAUGAGUGCUAAGUGUUAGGGGGUUUCCGCCCCUUAGUGCUGCAGCUAACGCAUUAAGCACUCCGCCUGGGGAGUACGACCGCAAGGUUGAA
RNAcentral lists this ribosomal RNA (376 nucleotides) under uncultured bacterium. RNAcentral's name for it is "bacterial SSU rRNA". It matches the Rfam family "Bacterial small subunit ribosomal RNA", at positions 524 to 898 of the family's 1533-position model. The record is from RNAcentral.